Molecule: long non-coding RNA, 776 nt
Filed under: Lathyrus oleraceus (garden pea)
Lineage: Eukaryota; Viridiplantae; Streptophyta; Magnoliopsida; Fabales; Fabaceae
Description: Pisum sativum (pea) long non-coding RNA (PSAT_LNC031895)
Source: RNAcentral
UGAAUUGGAAACAAAUUGGUAGAAUUGGGAUGCCGUUAGUGUUAGAAUUUGUCAAUUUCUCUGUCAAAACAGUUAGGUGCAAUGAGGUUAGUGAGCUCAAUUAGUUGAACUAGUUGUGUUAGCAAAAAUGUGAAUUAUAGUUAGGUGCUUUGAAUUUCAGUUAGUGAAGGAGAUGCUAGUUCAAUGUAAAACCAAUUAGCAUCAUUUAGUCAAAGAAGCAAUUUGAAAGUCUCAAAAUCUUUGGAGUUAGUUAUUGGUUACAAUUUGUUAUCACUGUUAAGUUGAACUUAGAUGAGUUAGUUAAUUGACAGCAGGAACCAGGAUGUCUUGCUGUUAUGAACAUGGUGUUGCAAUGAGUUAUGCUUACAGUUAGAGUUACAUGGAUGGCCUGCUAAACUGUCAUGGACUUUGUCAUGUACUUAUGACCUUAAAUGGUUGUUUUUUCUUGCAUGUGAAUGGAUAUGUAGAUGCUUUUGUGGCAUGUUGGUUAGUUUGAAUUGGUUUCAUUCCGGUUUGAAUGUAUGUGUAUGCAUUAAAUUAGUUGUGGUAUUUGAAAUUGAAGGUAAUAAGUGGACUGUAUGAUGAUUGUGUGUAUGUAUUUGUUGCAGGACUUGUGCACCUGGGAAGGCUUGGCAAUGCAUUUUGGACUAUGGAUAAGCUUAGCAUUCCAUGGCCCAUCGAGAUGGGAGUGUUGUACAACACCAAGAAUUGUGAAAAAGGGGGGAUGAUUUAUAGUUGACUUUGGUCAAAUGUUUGACCAAAAGGUCAAUAUUUGA